Long non-coding RNA from Aricia agestis (brown argus), 171 nucleotides. RefSeq lists it as uncharacterized. The record is from RefSeq and is a predicted model, not a curated record. Lineage: Eukaryota; Metazoa; Arthropoda; Insecta; Lepidoptera; Lycaenidae. The transcript is spliced from 3 exons.
UACUAAGUACUAACCAUGUACUAACCCUAAAUGUUUGUGCUUGUUUUAGAUUUUUCAACAUCCGUACGCGUCUCAAAUCAUACCUUGUUUGUUCAUAAAGCCAACCCAUCCUAGAGCAGAGUCACAUCAACCACUUUGACAUUGGCAACUCACUACGGGGCCAUUUUUAAA